Lemur catta (Ring-tailed lemur) is the source of this 413-nucleotide long non-coding RNA. RefSeq lists it as uncharacterized. NCBI's taxonomy places the organism in Eukaryota, Metazoa, Chordata, Mammalia, Primates, Lemuridae. The record is from RefSeq and is a predicted model, not a curated record. The transcript is spliced from 4 exons.
ACAGACUCCUGAGCAAUUUCCACGUCCCCAUGCAUGCCCGACCUAAGAAGUAUGUGUUGAAUUUGGAUGGACAGAGCCACAGAAAUCCAAGGACUGGGAGUGAAGAUGUUCCGAGUGUUGCCGAAACACACAUUUCCUUUAUACUGGAAAAGAACUAACUGAAUAAGAAGAAAAUGUUUGCAGUGACACCAGGUUCAAAUGUUCUCGAAAAGCACCUCAUUGGGAACACAGAGCAGAAAAGACACAGGCUCUGCCCUCCAAGCGGGGAGGCCAAAGCGUGAGAGAGAAGUGAUGACAACACAGCCUGCUGAUGGCCAGGAUGGCGCCAUGCAGGAAAAAUGAAGGCCUGGAAGGAUGCCCGGAGCCUGGUGACAUUCAUGUCAACGGGAAGAAACCCAGCACUGCCAAAGGCC